GGUUAAUGAGGCGAACCGGGGGAACUGAAACAUCUAAGUACCCCGAGGAAAAGAAAUCAACCGAGAUUCCCCCAGUAGCGGCGAGCGAACGGGGAGCAGCCCAGAGCCUGAAUCAGUGUGUGUGUUAGUGGAAGCGUCUGGAAAGGCGCGCGAUACAGGGUGACAGCCCCGUACACAAAAAUGCACAUGCUGUGAGCUCGAUGAGUAGGGCGGGACACGUGGUAUCCUGUCUGAAUAUGGGGGGACCAUCCUCCAAGGCUAAAUACUCCUGACUGACCGAUAGUGAACCAGUACCGUGAGGGAAAGGCGAAAAGAACCCCGGCGAGGGGAGUGAAAAAGAACCUGAAACCGUGUACGUACAAGCAGUGGGAGCACAGAGCAAUCUGUGUGACUGCGUACCUUUUGUAUAAUGGGUCAGCGACUUAUAUUCUGUAGCAAGGUUAACCGAAUAGGGGAGCCGAAGGGAAACCGAGUCUUAACUGGGCGUUAAGUUGCAGGGUAUAGACCCGAAACCCGGUGAUCUAGCCAUGGGCAGGUUGAAGGUUGGGUAACACUAACUGGAGGACCGAACCGACUAAUGUUGAAAAAUUAGCGGAUGACUUGUGGCUGGGGGUGAAAGGCCAAUCAAACCGGGAGAUAGCUGGUUCUCCCCGAAAGCUAUUUAGGUAGCGCCUCGUGAAUUCAUCUCCGGGGGUAGAGCACUGUUUCGGCAAGGGGGUCAUCCCGACUUACCAACCCGAUGCAAACUGCGAAUACCGGAGAAUGUUAUCACGGGAGACACACGGCGGGUGCUAACGUCCGUCGUGAAGAGGGAAACAACCCAGACCGCCAGCUAAGGUCCCAAAGUCAUGGUUAAGUGGGAAACGAUGUGGGAAGGCCCAGACAGCCAGGAUGUUGGCUUAGAAGCAGCCAUCAUUUAAAGAAAGCGUAAUAGCUCACUGGUCGAGUCGGCCUGCGCGGAAGAUGUAACGGGGCUAAACCAUGCACCGAAGCUGCGGCAGCGACGCUUAUGCGUUGUUGGGUA
RNAcentral lists this ribosomal RNA (1024 nucleotides) under Escherichia coli. RNAcentral describes it as "partial 23S ribosomal RNA". It matches the Rfam family "Bacterial large subunit ribosomal RNA", at positions 169 to 1230 of the family's 2925-position model. Lineage: Bacteria; Pseudomonadati; Pseudomonadota; Gammaproteobacteria; Enterobacterales; Enterobacteriaceae. The record is from RNAcentral.